Molecule: non-coding RNA, 497 nt
Organism: Pseudopodoces humilis (Tibetan ground-tit)
Lineage: Eukaryota; Metazoa; Chordata; Aves; Passeriformes; Paridae
Source: RefSeq, a predicted model, not a curated record
CGGCGGAGCAGGAGGGGCCGAGCCCCCUCCCCAGAGGACCCCCCCUCACCCCUCACCUGUCCCCACGCCGGCUGCGGGCGGGAGUUCAGCGCCGCCAGCAGCUUCCAGAGCCACGUGAAGCUGGCGCACCGCAAGGGCCGCGGCCAGGUGUGCCCCCAGCCCGGCUGCGGGAAGAGGUUUUACCUGGCAGAGCACCUGCGCCGGCACAUGGGCGUCCACUCAGGUGUGCGGGAGUUCACCUGUGACACCUGCGGGAAGUCCUUCAAGCGCAAGAACCACCUGGAAGUCCACAGGAGGACACACACCGGCGAGACCCCCCUGCAGUGCGAGGUGUGCGGGUACCGCUGCCGCCAGCGCGCGUCCCUGACGUGGCACAUGAGGAGACACGGGGGGCUCAAGAGUCACCCCGAGCCCCGUGGCACGUAGGGGACCCCCUGGAGUCACCUGGGGACCCUCCUGGAGUCACCUGGGACCCCCGUGGAGUCACCUGGGGACCC